UACGGAGGGUGCAAGCGUUGUCCGGAUUUAUUGGGUUUAAAGGGUACGUAGGCGGCUUAUUAAGUCAGUGGUGAAAGUUUGCAGCUUAACUGUAAAAGUGCCAUUGAUACUGGUAAGCUUGAGUACUGUAGAGGUGGGCGGAAUUCCGCAUGUAGCGGUGAAAUGCAUAGAUAUGCGGAGGAACACCAAAAGCGAAGGCAGCUCACUGGACAGUAACUGACGCUGAGGUACGAAAGCGUGGGGAUCGAACAGG
This 253-nucleotide ribosomal RNA is filed under the name uncultured bacterium. RNAcentral describes it as "partial 16S ribosomal RNA". It matches the Rfam family "Bacterial small subunit ribosomal RNA", at positions 524 to 776 of the family's 1533-position model. The record is from RNAcentral.